UCCCGGCACAGUGGCGUGUGCCUAUAGUCCCAGCUACUCCAGAGGCUGAGAUAAGAGGAUCACUUGAGCCCAGGAGUUCUGGGCUGUAGUGCACUAUGCUGAUCAGGUGUUCACACUAAGUUUGGCAUCAGUAUGGUGACCUCCAGGGAGUGGGGGACCACCAGCUUGCCUAAGGAGGGGUGAACCGGCCCAGGUCAGAAACGGAGCAGGUCAAAACUCCCGUGCUGAUCAGUAGUGGGAUUACACCUGUGAAUAGCCACUGUUCUCCAGCCUGGGCAACAUAGCAAGACCCCGUCUCU
This 299-nucleotide signal recognition particle RNA is filed under the name Saimiri boliviensis boliviensis (Bolivian squirrel monkey). Its description in RNAcentral is "Metazoan signal recognition particle RNA (ENSSBOG00000015223.1)". It matches the Rfam family "Metazoan signal recognition particle RNA". From Rfam's summary of the family: The signal recognition particle (SRP) is a universally conserved ribonucleoprotein. It is involved in the co-translational targeting of proteins to membranes. Lineage: Eukaryota; Metazoa; Chordata; Mammalia; Primates; Cebidae. The record is from RNAcentral.